AUCCAGAUGGCAAGUCCCAAAUAGGACGAAACGCGCAUCCUGUAU
Molecule: non-coding RNA, 45 nt
Organism: Trichobilharzia regenti
Lineage: Eukaryota; Metazoa; Platyhelminthes; Trematoda; Strigeidida; Schistosomatidae
Source: Rfam